This 1240-nucleotide long non-coding RNA is filed under the name Phoenix dactylifera (date palm). Its description in RNAcentral is "long non-coding RNA (PDAC_LNC008321)". Lineage: Eukaryota; Viridiplantae; Streptophyta; Magnoliopsida; Arecales; Arecaceae. The record is from RNAcentral.
UAGCUUCACUUGCUAAGAGAUAAAUUGCAAAUAUUUGUAAUCUAAGAUUUCCUUGUGAGGUAGUUGUCUCAAGAUUUGAAACAAUGAUCGAUCAUCGUCAUCAUUGUCAUCCAAGCCUAUCGUCAAUCAAAUAUGGUCUUGGCUAUGGAGCAUGCCUCUAAGUUGAGAUGGUUCCCUUGAAGGAUUGACUAGAUUUUAUGGAUAACUAUUAGUCUAGGAUCAGCUUAUAGCUUUGUAGUAAUGGGUGCCAGACACUUGAGAAGGUAAAUAUAGGCCUACAAUGGAAACUAUAUGGCCAAUUGGUGACCAGGCACUAGUCUGUUAUGCAUUAUUUGUCAUAGUUUGAUUUGAUGCAACUAGGCCACAACCCUCCAAAAUUACCGUGAACUUGGGAAGAGAUGAAGCAUAGAAAGAAAAUGGAAGAUUUCUUUUUUAUUUUUGGUUAAUUAACAUAUAGUCAACACUAUAAUCAAUUGUUAUCUGAAAUGUGCGUUAAUUUAGCAUGAAUUCAUGUUGUUUGAUUGUUAUUGAAGAGGGACUGCUAGUUUAGUGCUGGAUUUCCUUCAAGCUUAUUGAUAAUUUCUUUUAUAUUCAGAGGAGCGAGUCCGUUGCUGCUCCACAAUUUUUUGCACUUGCUCAAUUGUGUCCCCUUAGUUCAUCUUUUGAUUCUUGACCAUGCCAUCUUCUCAGUUGAACCUCCUCCAUGCCAAGCUCAUCCAAAAAUUUGUUCUCUCCUUUCCCAUUUUAAAAUCAAGGCUUAAUAACUUUGUGCCUAUACAAUUUGUCAAUAACUUGCAAAUUUGGGAAAUAUCCAACUCCAAUCAAACUUAAAAGGAAGAAUUGGGAAUCUUGUGCCAUUGAAAAAGAAAGAUAUAUAAAAAUGUAGUGAAAGUUCUGGACUCAACUUGCAUUAUGAAUUACUGGGUUGAUUUUUUUUCUUGUAUCAGUCAUUUAUCCUUAAUAUUCUAUUUGUUUUCUAUAAAAGAGAUCGAAGUUGGGAGUUAUUGUCUGCAAAACAAAGUAGUUUCAGUUUUUUUUUCUUUGGGAAAUUUUGGUUGUUGCAGAUAGAAUUAAGAUUGUUACUGAAGCAUGGUUUCUGUUAAGAGUAUAGCAUCAGUCAUAGUAAGCCAUGAAAACUUCCUGCUCUUCAUGAUUUGAGAAUUUGGUAUGGAUCUAUGAUUCUUGAAUUAUAUGCUUCAUCAUAUGCAUGACUUGACUGCAAUUCAAGUUGAAAAGAANN